CUGGUUGAUCCUGCCAGUAGUCAUAUGCUUGUCUCAAAGACUAAGCCAUGCAUGUCUAAGUAUAAGUGUUAUACAGCGAAACUGCGAAUGGCUCAUUAAAACAGUUAUAGUUUAUUUGAUAAUCGAAUUUACAUGGAUAACCGUGGUAAUUCUAGAGCUAAUACAUGCUGGUAGGCCCGACUUUUGCGGAAGGGCGGUAUUUAUUAGAUAACAAGCCAAUAUUCCUCUGGUCUAUUGUGGUGACUCAUAAUAACUGAUCGAAUCGCAAGGCCUUUGGCCGCGAUAAGUCAUUCAAGUUUCUGCCCCAUCAGCUUUCGAUGGUAGUGUAUUGGACUACCAUGGCGUUUACGGGUAACGGAGGAUUAGGGUUCGAUUCCGGAGAGGGAGCCUGAGAAACGGCUACCACAUCUAAGGAAGGCAGCAGGCGCGUAAAUUACCCAAUCCUGACUCAGGGAGGUAGUGACAAGAAAUAACGGACCGAGGCCUUCGGGCUUCGGGAUUGGAAUGAGCCGAAUUUACACCCCUUAGCGAAGAUCGAUUGGAGGGCAAGUCUGG
This 555-nucleotide ribosomal RNA is filed under the name uncultured eukaryote. Its description in RNAcentral is "SSU rRNA". It matches the Rfam family "Eukaryotic small subunit ribosomal RNA", at positions 4 to 564 of the family's 1831-position model. The record is from RNAcentral.